UACGUAGGGGGCGAGCGUUGUCCGGAUUUAUUGGGCGUAAAGAGCGUGUAGGCGGCCAGGUAGGUCUGCUGUGAAAACUCGAGGCUCAACCUCGAGACGUCGGCGGAAACCAUCUGGCUAGAGUCCGGAAGAGGAGAGUGGAAUUCCUGGUGUAGCGGUGAAAUGCGCAGAUAUCGGGAGGAACACCAAUGGCGAAGGCAGCUCGCUGGGACGUUACUGACGCUGAGACGCGAAAGCGUGGGGAGCAAACGGG
RNAcentral lists this ribosomal RNA (253 nucleotides) under uncultured bacterium. RNAcentral describes it as "partial 16S ribosomal RNA". It matches the Rfam family "Bacterial small subunit ribosomal RNA", at positions 524 to 776 of the family's 1533-position model. The record is from RNAcentral.